AUGCUCGGACACCACCGCAGGUCCACCAUCACCAGCGCAGACCUCGGCGACCUGCACUAUCUUCGGAUGGUCAUCAAGGAGACGCUAAGGUUGCACCCCUCUGUGUCACUGAUACACAGGGCGGCCAUGGAGGAUUGCCAAGUGAUGGGCUACCACAUACCCAAGGGCACCUCCGUCAUGAUAAACGCCUUCGCGGUUGGCACGGACCCGACACACUGGGGUGAGGAUGCCGCGGAGUUCAGGCUGGAGAGGUUUGAGGAGAUGAGUGUGGAGUACUUCAAGCAAGGGCCACAGAUGGAGUUCAUCCCGUUCGGAGCUGGUCGUAGGCAGUGCCCUGGAGCCUUGUUCGUGAGCACGACGAUGGAGCUUGUGCUGGCAAACCUCCUGUACCACUUUGACUGGGCGAUUCCGUGUGGGGCGGGCCCAGAGACACUGGACAUGGGCGAGGUGUUUGGGAUCGUCCAUCGUCGUGCAAACUAG
This 480-nucleotide ribosomal RNA is filed under the name Triticum aestivum (bread wheat). RNAcentral's name for it is "partial small subunit ribosomal RNA". The record is from RNAcentral. Lineage: Eukaryota; Viridiplantae; Streptophyta; Magnoliopsida; Poales; Poaceae.